This 329-nucleotide long non-coding RNA is filed under the name Callithrix jacchus (white-tufted-ear marmoset). RNAcentral describes it as "lncRNA (ENSCJAG00000085250.1)". The record is from RNAcentral. Lineage: Eukaryota; Metazoa; Chordata; Mammalia; Primates; Cebidae.
GGGGUGGUUUUCAGCCCCCAGUAAGGUGCACCAGCAGGACCAAGAGGUGGCCUGGGCCUCCCCAACACUCUCAUCCAUGCAGACCUAGGACAGAAGCAGAGGGUGCUGUUUCUAUGCCACCACCAGGAAAGAGGCAGAGAGGCUGGGCCAUGCUGGAGUCCUCUGGGAGGGAGCAACCUUGACCCUGGCUGUGCUGCAAGCUGAUUCCAGCCCUGGGGUCAGCAGCACCUGGAGAACAGCAGCAGGAGGUGGCGUGAGAGCAGUGGCUCAUGGGUGGAGCUUCCCAUGGGAAACUGAGGCUGCCACCCCUUCCUGAGGGCAGCCAAGAG